GACGAACGCUGGCGGCGUGGAUUAGGCAUGCAAGUCGAACGGUAUCAUCCUUUUCGGGGGGUGGAGAGAGUGGCGAACUGGUGAGUAACACGUAGGUUAUCUACCCCUCAAGACGGGGGACAACCCCAGGGAAACUUGGGCUAAUACCGGAUGUGAGCAACUUUUUAGUUUGUUUGAAAGGUGGCGUAAGCUGUCGCUUGGGGGAUGAGCCUGCGUCCUAUUAGUUAGUUGGUGAGGUAACGGCUCACCUAGGCAAUAGAUAGGUAGGCGGCCGUUAACGGGUGGUCGCCCACACUGGGAGUUGAGAUACGGCCCACGACUCCUACGGGAGGCGAGCAGUCGAGAAUAGUCUACAAUGGGGGGGGGGGUCAAGACUGAUAGUGCGACGCCGCGUGAACGAUGAAUCCCUUCGGGGUGUAAAGUUCUUUUAUAUGUGAGCAGUGCUUCUUAUUAUUAACAGUAUGGGGAGAGAGAUAUUAGCAUAUGAAUAAGCAACGGCUAACUCCGUGCCAGCAGCCGCGGUAAACUCGU
Molecule: ribosomal RNA, 531 nt
Filed under: uncultured bacterium
Lineage: Bacteria
Description: partial 16S ribosomal RNA
Rfam family: Bacterial small subunit ribosomal RNA
Source: RNAcentral